AACGUAGGACGCAAGCGUUAUCCGGAGUUACUGGGCGUAAAGCGCGGGCAGGCGGCUCGAUGCGUCUGAUGUGAAAUCUCCUCGCUCAACGGGGAGAGGCCAUUGGAAACGGUCGAGCUGGAGGGCAGUAGAGGUAGGCGGAAUUCCGGGUGGAGUGGUGAAAUGCGUAGAUAUCGGGAGGAACACCAGUGGCGAAGGCGACUUCCUGGCCUGUUCUUGACGCUGAGGCGCGAAAGCUAGGGGAGCAAACGGG
RNAcentral lists this ribosomal RNA (253 nucleotides) under uncultured bacterium. RNAcentral's name for it is "partial 16S ribosomal RNA". It matches the Rfam family "Bacterial small subunit ribosomal RNA", at positions 524 to 776 of the family's 1533-position model. The record is from RNAcentral.